CACGGGAUUGGGCGGCCCCUCUCUCUCCAGUGAAAAUAUGUCCUAUCUCUUCUCUCCCCGUUCCUCUUCUCUGGCCGCCGCCUCCGCUUCCCUCCUCCCUCUCGGUCGCCUCGUCUCCUCCGCCGCCGCCACGUCCUCCUCCCCUGCCACCACCCUCUCCAUCCCUGCCUCUCCUCCUCCCCUGCCACCACCCUCUCCAUCCCUGCCUCUCCUCCUCCCCUGCCUCCGCGCACCCGGCAACACGGCCAGACCGAUGGAUGGGGUAGGCGAAGAGGAGUGGCAGAUCCGCCUCCUCUUGGGCGGUUGUGCUCUUCUUUGUUGAGAACUUGCCGCCUGUUGCGCCCGCGUCGCUGCCGUUCUUGCGCCGGUGCUGCUGCCGUGGACGGCUUGGCUUUGGCGCAAUCUCUGUUCUUUCUCACCCAUGCGACUGAUCUUCUAUCUGCUGCUGCCGCGCGCCGUGCUUCUGGAUCUAGGCGAGCAGGGCGGCAUGAUCUUCUUGGUGGGUGUGGAGGAUGAGGAGAAUGGCAGUGAGGGAAGGAACAGCGAGGCUGGAGUUCCAGACGGUGCUGGCCAUGGUACCUGUCCCCAAUCUAGGUUGCCAAUAUGCAGCCUCCUUGAUUUAUGGUUUUUUAAACACACAUAUGCAGACCUGAGGAAAAAGAGAAGAGGGUGAAUCUUGAUGAAAAGUUUGAACAAAGUUCGAAGAUAUAAAUCUAAUUGAUAUAUUGUCGAUGGGGAUUAAGUACUGUAAUGAUAUACCUGAGAAUUUUGAUGAUAUAUCUGCUACCAGGUUGAAUAUUGACCACAAAUUAAUUUUUGUGUGUGCUUCUGCUCAUUUAAGUGCAUAAUUUGGUCACAAACCUCCUGCUGUAGCUACGAAGUUCAUUGUGUGAUGCCUACAAGUUAUUGGUCUUAUUUUUGGUGUAAAGCUGCAGGCCGAGUUCAGAUUGUUCUUUUGACAGAAAUGGAACAGGUAAUGCUACAGCCUAAGCAUUGUAUAGUAUAAAUUCAAAGGUCAUGUAAUAUUUUACUUAGGUUCAUUCAAAUAUCUGGAAUUGACAUGCAUAUGUUUCUUGUAUGUGCACACAUUGUUGGUUGUAUCUUAAUAUGAGUUCUUUAUGUUGCUUGCCUAAAUUCAGAAGUGAACUUUUGCUGUAUAUUUGGUCGAUGUGUGUCCUGUAAACCGUAAACUUACUAGGUGUACAUGUACAUGCGUAUUUGUUACACUAUUAUCAUAUAUAACACUUCCAGAUCAGAAUAUACAGAUAUCUCCUUUUUACAUAAAUAAUCGUGAUUGUUCUCAUACAAUUUGGCAUUUCAAGAAUAUCGCAGCCACACAAGCUAAAGGUUCAGGAAGUUUAGGGAAAGAAAAGUUCUUAUUGACAAAGAUGGUGGUAUGGAUAAGUCCCUAUUCUCAUUGUCACUGGUACUUCAUUUUUCUUAUAUUUUGAUGCUUAUUUUUUCGUAUGUAGGUGAGUUUUAUCUGGUAUCACUUUUUGACAUGGACAUGUACCAUAUGAUUGUUGAGUUUCAUCUGAUUUCACUUUUUGACAUGGCCAUAUACCAUGGGGUAUAGUAUUUAUGAAGAGUGGCUUGGAAAUUGCAAGUAGAUGGUUACUCUAGCCGUAUAGCUUAUUUAAUUAGGAGUGAGAUGCUUGCUAAGAUGAAUGGUGUUUCUGUAAGGGCAGACAUAUUCCUAGCACUGGAUUAUGCACAUGUAUAUAUGGAUACUUCUGUACGAAUGCAGCUCACACUUACCACGGUCAGAAGAGUCUUGCAUGGAUAUAUCAUGUGAUGUGACACUGGAAUAAUUGGCCUGGAGUUCACCAGCGUGACCGAGCGCAGUGCAACGGAGCUGUUCAACACGUGUUGGCACAUGACUGCCAUGGAAGAGGAUCUCGCUGGAACGCUGCCGUUUCUUCAGUUUGGAAUUUUGUUAACAAUUCUGUAACCUUGAUUGCGCUGAGCAUAAGCAGGAUCUACGCAUUAUUCUGUUGACUUUGCUCACUCCCGAAAAGAAGAGGACUAUGGACCUGAGUGGGAAUGGAGGCAGGAUAUUCUUCUGGAUGGCUAUGCUGAGGUGGUGGUUGGUCGGAUCCAUGGUGUAGGCAAAGUUGGUCAGCAUGGUGGAGUUGUGCUGUGGGGAAGACCCUGGAUUAGAGAUCUGCGCGGCUAUCUGCGUGCUGGGUGGAUCAGUGUAGCCCACCUCGGGGUGGAGGCAAGCGGCGCUUCACUGGUGCCUCGCCAUGCCACAACAGUGGCCUUCACAAUGUUUAAUCAUAAGACCACUAUUUUUGUGUCUAUAUGCAGUGUUCACUUCGUCUAUAUCUUGGCAAUGUUUAAUCAUAAAACCACUAAUUUUGUGUCUAUAUGCAGUGUUCACUUUGUCUAUAUCUUGGCAAUGUUUAAUCAUAAAACCACUAAUUCUGUGUA
Molecule: RNA transcript, 2433 nt
Organism: Triticum dicoccoides
Lineage: Eukaryota; Viridiplantae; Streptophyta; Magnoliopsida; Poales; Poaceae
Exons: 3
Source: RefSeq, a predicted model, not a curated record